GUUAUAUCAUUUAGAAUUUCAAGUUUGAAAAUUUUAAUAAUUAAAAUCAGGAGAUUUUGUGCUAAUUGGUAUAGUAAUUAUACCUGCCAUACUGUGAUUUAACUUUAAUUAAAGUGCAUACCUGGAGUAUACCUGGAGAGGGUUUCGGGGGGUUAACGCCCCCGCCGCUCGGUCUGAGACAUGAUCUUCUUACAGCUGUGAGUGUGGACAUGAUGGCUGCCCAGCUCGCUUGCCCAUCAAGCUAUCAGCACCACUGUCACUUCUGCCAGGCCCUCUGAGGUUCUCUGUCUACACCCACCCUCGCUACUCACUCUAGAUACCAUGAUGACGCUGGUUAUGGGAGGAGCCGUGGCUGAAAGAUUUAUUGGUUCUGUGGUUGAGGAGCACAAGGCCAAGUCAACCGGACCUCAUCCACCCGGAGUCCAGACCGGAAACUCUAGCAACGUCCACCCCGGCAGACAUGACGAUGGUGGGCGCUUGGACAGUUACGUGAUUAUUGUAGCUCUGGUGAGCACGAUCUUCCCACUCAUUUGCCUGAUUCUCAGCCUCGUCAUUGCCAGG
This is a long non-coding RNA of Cherax quadricarinatus, 561 nucleotides long. RefSeq lists it as uncharacterized. NCBI's taxonomy places the organism in Eukaryota, Metazoa, Arthropoda, Malacostraca, Decapoda, Parastacidae. The record is from RefSeq and is a predicted model, not a curated record.